Molecule: small nuclear RNA, 207 nt
Filed under: Catagonus wagneri (Chacoan peccary)
Lineage: Eukaryota; Metazoa; Chordata; Mammalia; Artiodactyla; Tayassuidae
Description: U2 spliceosomal RNA (ENSCWAG00000017733.1)
Rfam family: U2 spliceosomal RNA
About the family: U2 is a small nuclear RNA (snRNA) component of the spliceosome (involved in pre-mRNA splicing). Complementary binding between U2 snRNA (in an area lying towards the 5' end but 3' to hairpin I) and the branchpoint sequence (BPS) of the intron results the bulging out of an unpaired adenosine, on the BPS, which initiates a nucleophilic attack at the intronic 5' splice site, thus starting the first of two transesterification reactions that mediate splicing.
Source: Rfam by way of RNAcentral
AUUGCUUCUCGGCCUUCUGGCUAAGAUCAAGUGUAGGAAACCAAUUCCUUAAAUCAGGAGCAUGAGCAUAUUUUGAUAGCACAGAGCCAGGUGUACUCAUUAGCAAUAAUGCUCUUUUCUGACUAUGAAACAGAGAUAAUAUGAUAUUAUUGCUAUUAUUAUUAUUAUAUUACACUACUCAGUGAUGUGAUAAUAUGAUGGUUGAAC